UACGGAGGGUGCAAGCGUUAUCCGGAUUUACUGGGUUUAAAGGGUGCGUAGGUGGAUAAGUAAGUCAGUGGUGAAAUCUUCGGGCUUAACCCGGAAACUGCCAUUGAUACUAUUUGUCUUGAAUACUUUGGAGGUAAGCGGAAUAUGGCAUGUAGCGGUGAAAUGCUUAGAUAUGACAUAGAACACCAAUGGCGAAGGCAGCUUACUGGACAGUAAUUGACACUGAGGCACGAAAGCGUGGGGAGCAAACAGG
RNAcentral lists this ribosomal RNA (253 nucleotides) under uncultured bacterium. RNAcentral describes it as "partial 16S ribosomal RNA". It matches the Rfam family "Bacterial small subunit ribosomal RNA", at positions 524 to 776 of the family's 1533-position model. The record is from RNAcentral.